GCCUGGCUGGCUCAGUUGGAAGAGCAUGUGACUCUUAAUCCUGGGGUUGUGAGUUCAAGCCCCAUGUUGGGUG
Molecule: transfer RNA, 73 nt
Filed under: Ailuropoda melanoleuca (giant panda)
Lineage: Eukaryota; Metazoa; Chordata; Mammalia; Carnivora; Ursidae
Rfam family: tRNA
About the family: Transfer RNA (tRNA) molecules are approximately 80 nucleotides in length.
Source: Rfam by way of RNAcentral